GCCCCGUCCUUCCCCAGCUCACGGCCAGCGCGGCAGCGGGGCCACGAUGACGAAGCAGUUCAAUCGCACCGCCAGCUGGCCAACCAGACCGUGGGCAGGGAUAGAGACCAGGGAGAGGAUUAAAGAGGGCGGCGUGAGAGGAGAGACAGAGGCUUCCUCCUAAAGCUGGAUACAAUUAGAAAAUAUAGUUGGCGCAACUAAUCCUGAGAGAGCAACAGGAAGAGGGCGGCGCCAGCCUGCACACACCGGGAGAAAAGAGCAGACCUCCCUGAACGGGGUGACGCACCAGAGCUGGGGCUCCGCGACCCGAGCCCCUCCCCCACCCCAGCUCACCGGCGGGAGGAAGAGAAACAGAGCAGGGAGGGAAUGGAAGGCCUGGGACUGCUGAAUACGUGGCUCCUGAGAUCUGCGCUGGGAGCACAAACCUACAUUUCAUGCCUUAGCCUUUUUCCUUGCCCCAGGACCUCAUCUUUUCCCAGAAAGCUACUUAAAUCAAAGUUCUAUUGAUGGAAACACAUUGCAUCCUCUGGCCAGGAACCCCUGGGGUAAGGUGUUCAGGAACUGGGAGUAUAGCCCGUGUGAUUCUGACAUGGAAGCAAACAAGGCAGGCAGAUGAUCGGCAGAUCUUGAUUUGAAGUAUACCCACCUCUGAAUUUUUCAUGAAUAAUUAGCUCAUGAACAACCAUCAGGUCUAUUCCCUGCUUGUAAACACUUUGUAAUAGCUGGGUCAAUCCGUGAGAUUGGGUAGGAAGAAGGAUUAUGAAAAGAUAUUUAAGAAGUUCUAGUAUGUCCAUAACCUUAACUUUAAAAGUAUCAUGAAAUAAUCUACAUAAAUUGAAAUCCUUUACAAUUACAUUUGUGGCCUAUAGUUUUGUUCAGGAAACAUCCUAAAGAAUAAAUCCUGAGACCUUUCUGGUUGCUUUCCCUGAGAUGUUCCCCUUCCCUCCACCUGUCUUUCUCCUAGAGAUUCCCACCCCUCUGACAGUGCUAAGGCAUCCUGUGAUAUUUGUUCCCUUUAUGGCACUUCUCAUAAUUGUACCUAUGGAAAGAUUGGUGAAAUAUUUAUCUGUUUAUCCACUACUAAAAUGUAGAUGUAAAACAAGUUUAUUUCACUGAGACACUUAAAGCUUCAAAGGAAUUAACACUUGAAGAAUUUAGAGUGGAAAUGAGACUCUAGAGUCUUUCCAUAAAUGUCACAUGUAACACUACUCUGAAGGCUAAAUGCCAAGAAAUAAGCAAGCACUUCAAGGUAAAGUCCGAGGUACUUAAUCACAGCAAGAGUAGCACAGCGGUGGCUCAACUCCACUGACAUUCUUUGGCUGCUACAGAUGACUUAACCUCAGAAUUACUAUUUUUGAGAGCUGUCUUUAAGGGCAAGAACAUUUCCAAAUUUGGGAAAGAUCUAAUUGAUUUUAUAUUUACAUGGCAAAUAAAAAGCAACUGCAAACUGUUUCAUAACAUUUAAAACAUUGGUUUUCUUUUGUAAAUGCUCUGGUGUUUUAAUUUUGGUAUACUGUUGUCUAAAUAUGAACUGCAAGCUAAAUCAGGAAAUUUUUAAAAACCUAUUAGAAGCUUAAGUAGAAAAAACAGAAAACUUGAGAUUUGAAAACUAGAAAUAGUUAUUGGCUAUCUUUUCUAUUAGUAGUACUGAAACAUGAUAAUUAUAAAGUAAUAUUAAUAUAUUUUUGAAUUUUGAGUUAAUAAACAUAUUUCUGUUUGCUGUCACUUAUUAUGUAAUAGAUAUUAAAAAAUGAAUUAGUCAAAAUAUCCACUUUAAGGCAUUCUCUAGUGUUGUAAAUCAAAGCCCAUUCCAUUUGCUUCCACUAUACACUAUCUUAUAAAGUCUGUUAAAAAGAAAAUAGUUUUAUAGUUGCUGUACUUUAUCACAACAUAUCAUUAAAUUGUUUACCUAAUUGGCUCCUUAAGUGUCAAUUUUUAAAGGGUAUCCUAUUAUUUUCCUAUAGGAAUUUAGCAGCAAACCAAUGAAUGAAUCUAAUUAUUCUAUUUACAGUUAGUAGUUCCACUAUCCCAGAUACUAAGAUAGACCUACUACUGUCAGUAAAGGAUUGUGGUUCAAUCAACCAAUCAUUAUUAAACAGCCUAUAAUUACCUCUUUAGAAUCAAUCUCUUCCUAUAAAUCAUUCUUCAAAAGAAUUUUCAGUUCUCAGCCAAGAAUAAGUUAGAAUCAGCAAGUGAACUGAAAGUUCCAAUAGCAUUAGCCAAGAGAUGGUCAGCUACGUUCACCUUGAGAUCUAUGUACUAGCAAUGUAUUCAAGAAUUGCUGAUGCUCACAAAAAUGAAGCUGUGGGCAAACACUCUUGUCUUUAUAACAAGCACAGUGAGGGAAUUUUCCGCCCCCCUUUUUCCUAAGUCAAGUUCUACUUGGGGUCCUAGUGUGGCACAGAGGCUCUUAGAUGCUUGCAGUUACCAUAGUAAUGGAUAAGCCAUAUUAUCCAGAUAUGGUCAAAUCAAGGGAGGAACCCACAACACAUAAAAUGAAUAGAAGUUUCUUCACAGGAAGAGAAUUUUCUUCAAAGACUUUAUCAGUUUCACACCAUGAAAAUUUUUUCUGAUUAGUUAGUGUUUAAAGUAGUGAAAUAAAACUGGGCAUAUUGAAGCCAUAUUUUAGAAGUGCCAUUGAAGAAGGUCCACUUGUAAUUUUCUGGUCAUUACAUAGCUAGCAUUCUAACAGUUUCUAAAGAAUUAUUCUUGGCCGCCUUCUAUUCUCUACAACUGACAGUUUGAUAACGAACCCAUCAACUUCUCAAUGUUAAAUUAAGACUGAUAGAGGCUGAGAACACCUUUGCAAAACUACAUCUUCUAUUCUGAGAGUUCUUAAAGACUUUUAGCAGAAACUAUUAAAAUGUUCCUGUGAGGCUAUUGUAACAUUUAGUGGAUGUUUUUCUCAGAAAAAUUCAGAUGCAAGAAAGUGAUAUGUUUCCAAAGCAACAAAAGCCAUUGUGAGUGUCCAACCAUAAACUUGAGAGAUAAUCAAAUAUCUCCUUGUUUGGAACUCAAAUUCUUCUGAGUUUGUUCCCUGUGUCUACCUCUUAGAUUGUCUCUCUGAUACCCCCCGAAACACACACUCUCUCUCUUUCUCCUUACCCCUUCCCCACCUUCUACAAAAUUUACUAAGAUUGUACUUAAUAGUAGAACAAAUAAAUCAGUUUAACUAUGGAAUCUCUAGGUUCUAGCUCGGUCAUACAUUCUCCCUUGAUUUCUGUAUUUCCUCCAUCCAAAUUGCUUUUUUGCUGCUCUUUGCUGGAGAAGGAAAGACAAUUCUUUCAUCUUUUAAUGCAGAGUUUUGAGAUGCUUUGAUAAAAUUUGUUUUUUCUCUUACACUUGUUAAAAUCAAAACAAGUGAAACUAACUUUAAAAAUUCUGCGAGCAGACAAAACCAGUUUAUGCAAGAAAAGCUUAAUUUAGCUUAUUAUGCAAGACUAACCUGACCUGGGUCAUUUCUUGCUUAUGCCUCUGGAAGUCACAAGCAAAACUUAAAGUGUUUUCUAAGGUGGAUAUGAGGUAACCAUUGACCAAUUCCCUAUCACUUCAGACAUUUCUAAAAUACAAUCAAUUGUGAAGAAUAAACAGUCCCUGAACCUCAUUCCAUGUUUCGGUUCGAGGGCUCCCACUUUACAAAUUGUCUUUUUGGUGUGUGCAUAAUAAACUUUUACUAAUUACUACUUAGGUGAUUCACUGGUUUUACUU
This is a long non-coding RNA of Manis javanica (Malayan pangolin), 3708 nucleotides long. RefSeq lists it as uncharacterized. Lineage: Eukaryota; Metazoa; Chordata; Mammalia; Pholidota; Manidae. The record is from RefSeq and is a predicted model, not a curated record.